Molecule: long non-coding RNA, 395 nt
Filed under: Manacus vitellinus (golden-collared manakin)
Lineage: Eukaryota; Metazoa; Chordata; Aves; Passeriformes; Pipridae
Description: lncRNA (ENSMVIG00005018323.1)
Source: RNAcentral
UGGGGGCUGGAAUACCCCCCGAAAUUCCCAAUAUUCCUGGAAAAAUUCCCCUGUUCUGACUCUUUUCCCUUUUUCCCCCUCAGGCUGACGGAGCUCCCGGAGCCGAUUCCGGGUGGGAUCGACGCCGAGAUGGACCCGGGGGAAAAUGCAGCUCUGGAGGGAUGGGUCACACAAAUCCGAAAACUGCAGGAGGAAUUUGAAAGUGACACUGAACUGGGUCUGUGAAUUUACCCCCGAAUCUGUGAGUUUAUCCCCACCCAGAUCAAUAAAUUCAUGCCCAGGUCUCAAAUUCCCUUUUUUUCCCCUUAUUUUCAGAGGAAUGUGACACAGAAAAUGGUGAGUUUUGGGGUCCAAAUUGUGCUAAAUAAUAAUAUAAUUAUUUAUAAUUAUAUAAU